AACGAACGCUGGCGGCGCGCUUAACACAUGCAAGUCGAACGAAGUUCUUGUUUUCGGAUGAGAUACUUAGUGGCGCACGGGUGAGUAACGCGUGGGAACCUGCCCUUUGCUACGGAACAACCACGGGAAACUGUGGCUAAUACCGUAUAAUGCUGCGACGUAAGUUGUAGCCAAAGAUUUAUCGGCGAAGGAGGGGCCCGCGUUAGAUUAGCUUGUUGGUGGGGUAACGGCCUACCAAGGCUUCGAUCUAUAGCUGGUCUGAGAGGACGAUCAGCCACACUGGGACUGAGACACGGCCCAGACUCCUACGGGAGGCAGCAGUGGGGAAUCUUGGACAAUGGGGGCAACCCUGAUCCAGCGACGCCGCGUGGAUGAAGAAGGCCUUAGGGUUGUAAAGUCCUUUCACCGGGGAGGAUGAUGACGUUACCCGGAGAAGAAGCACCGGCUAACUCCG
RNAcentral lists this ribosomal RNA (454 nucleotides) under uncultured Rhodospirillales bacterium. RNAcentral describes it as "bacterial SSU rRNA". It matches the Rfam family "Bacterial small subunit ribosomal RNA", at positions 29 to 505 of the family's 1533-position model. The record is from RNAcentral. Lineage: Bacteria; Pseudomonadati; Pseudomonadota; Alphaproteobacteria; Rhodospirillales.